CGUAGGUGGCAAGCGUUGUCCGGAAUUAUUGGGCGUAAAGGGCGCGUAGGCGGUCCCUUAAGUCAGAUGUGAAAUCCCGAGGCUCAACUUCGGGCGUGCAUUUGAAACUGGGGGACUAGAGUGCAGGAGAGGUAAGUGGAAUUCCUAGUGUAGCGGUGAAAUGCGUAGAUAUUAGGAGGAACACCAGUGGCGAAGGCGACUUACUGGACUGUAACUGACGCUGAGGCGCGAAAGCGUGGGGAGCAAACAGGAUUAGAUACCCUGGUAGUCCACGCUGUAAACGAUGGAUACUAGGUGUGGGAGGUAUCGACCCCUUCCGUGCCGCAGUUAACGCAAUAAGUAUCCCGCCUGGGGAGUACGGCCGCAAGGUUG
Molecule: ribosomal RNA, 372 nt
Filed under: uncultured organism
Description: bacterial SSU rRNA
Rfam family: Bacterial small subunit ribosomal RNA
Source: RNAcentral